Nomascus leucogenys (northern white-cheeked gibbon) is the source of this 113-nucleotide unclassified non-coding RNA. It matches the Rfam family "Y RNA". Rfam says of the family: Y RNAs are components of the Ro ribonucleoprotein particle (Ro RNP), in association with Ro60 and La proteins. The Y RNAs and Ro60 and La proteins are well conserved, but the function of the Ro RNP is not known. The record is from Ensembl. Lineage: Eukaryota; Metazoa; Chordata; Mammalia; Primates; Hylobatidae.
GGCCGGCGUGAAGUUUGUGAGUUAUCUCAAUUGACUAUUCACAGUCAGUUACAGACUGAAGUCCCUGUUCUAUUCUUUACCCCUUUCUCACCACUGCACUUGACUAGUCUUUU